GCCUACGGGAGGCAGCAGUGGGGAAUAUUGCGCAAUGGGGGAAACCCUGACGCAGCAACGCCGCGUGCGGGAUGAAGGCCUUCGGGUUGUAAACCGCUUUCAGUAGGGACGAUUGUGACGGUACCUACAGAAGAAGCCCCGGCCAACUACGUGCCAGCAGCCGCGGUAACACGUAGGGGGCGAGCGUUGUCCGGAUUUAUUGGGCGUAAAGAGCUCGUAGGCGGCUCAGUAAGUCGGGUGUGAAAACUCCAGGCUCAACCUGGAGACGCCACCCGAUACUGCUGUGGCUAGAGUCCGGUAGGGGAGCAGGGAAUUCCUGGUGUAGCGGUGAAAUGCGCAGAUAUCAGGAGGAACACCAGUGGCGAAGGCGGUGCUCUGGGCCGGUACUGACGCUGAGGAGCGAAAGCGUGGGGAGCAAACAGGAUUAGAUACCCUGGUAGUC
This 442-nucleotide ribosomal RNA is filed under the name uncultured Acidimicrobiales bacterium. RNAcentral describes it as "bacterial SSU rRNA". It matches the Rfam family "Bacterial small subunit ribosomal RNA", at positions 337 to 795 of the family's 1533-position model. The record is from RNAcentral. Lineage: Bacteria; Bacillati; Actinomycetota; Acidimicrobiia; Acidimicrobiales.